RNAcentral lists this long non-coding RNA (5350 nucleotides) under Olea europaea (common olive). RNAcentral's name for it is "long non-coding RNA (OEUR_LNC001966)". Lineage: Eukaryota; Viridiplantae; Streptophyta; Magnoliopsida; Lamiales; Oleaceae. The record is from RNAcentral.
UCACUUCAGCUCUUAUGGCCGGUUUCAACCCACUGAUGAAAUUUCCUUCCAGCACAGCUUCUGGAAUCUCCAGCAGAGGUGCAGCGAGGAUCUCAAACAUUUAACGGUAUUCUCUCACCGUCCCUUCUUGCUUCAACGCCAGGAGCUUUUCCAGAAUUGAUCCUUCCUGUGAUGGCCGGAAUCUGUUGAGUAGUAAGAGCUUCAAAUCUCCCCAACUUCUCAACGGCUACUGGCUGACCUCCCAUUGAUACCAGGCUAGAGCCUCACCUUCAAAACAGACGGCAGUGGCCUCAAUCUUCUCCCAAUCGAUAAACUGAUUCAUGCUGAAUUAUCGCUCCGCACGAAAAAUCUAACCAUCCGGGUCAUUGCCGUUGAUGAUAGGCAAUUCCAGACGGCGUCCUCGAUUGUCCAUUUUCCCAAUUUCCUCAUGGCGCAGGAGGUUCCCAGUGUUCUCCCCCAUUUCAUUAACCUGUUGCAGCUCAUCGGAAUUUGUCGGGAACACCGGUGGAUUGGACGAAACUCCCUUCUCCUUUCUAUCCCUCUCCUGUACAUCCCAUUUCUUCAUCACCAUAUCAAACUUCUCCAUUAAUCCAGCCAUGUCUCGCUGUAUCUCAAAUUUCAUUGUACCCAUCCCAUCUUGCAACUCAUCGAACCUUGUUUCCAACAAUGCCACACGGUCUGUAAGCAUCAUUCCCGCUCUGAUACCAGAAUGGUAAGUCCCCUGAUCCUCUGACUCCAGGUGUGGCUCCUUCACUGGGAAUUCUGCAAUAAAUCAACUAAGAACCUGGAAGAAUAGAACAGUAUAUGAAAUUCAAUUGAUGGAAAAUAAGAGACAAAUUCCAAGGCUAUUAGAGAGGCCUGGUCUCUCCCCCCUUUUCUAACAGAAGAAUCAGUAAAAGCCUACCUACAAUCCUCUCCCACCCACAAUUUAUUCAUUCCCUUACAAAGCACAAUGACUAUUUUACCCCUAUCAACUAACUAAAGCUAAGUUGGCAUCCUUCACGUUGGAUAUAACUGCUCCCUUCUUCUUCCUUGCAUAAGUGAAUCUUAUGGGUGAUCUAUCAGGCACCUAUACUGUGAUCUGUUUGAACCCAUAAGCUGUUCACUACUACUCUUUCCCUUUCUUUUUCUUUUUCUUUUCUACCUUUUCCUCAGUAUCCCGUUUUAAAUACCAUCAUUCUACAUAUAUCUUUUAUUUAAACUUGUAAGAUACAUGUAGUCUUGAUUAUUUCAAUUUUGUUAUCUACCCUCGUAGCCUGGAAGAUUCUUCCACUUGAUCAAAUGUCCAGACUUGCAGUAGUGUGGCCAGCAUUAGGGCGAACUCCCAAAACUAUUUCUAGCUCCAAGAUGAAUUCCCCUGUAGCCGAGAGUUGUGGAGGGAAGGCGGAAAUGGGCUUAACACUACCAAUGGCCUUAUGUAACUGGGAUAGAUGGAACACGGAAUGAAUAGCUGAUGAGGUAGGGAGUUUAAGCUUGUAUGUUACCCUUCCCACUUUCGAUUCAAUCUCAAAGGGGCCAUAGUAACGGGGGGACAACUUCUCAUUUAGGCGCUUAGCCAAGGAUUUCUGACGAUAAGGCCGAAGUUUGAGGUAAACUAGUUCCCCAACUUCAAACUGGACAUCAAGACGGUGCUUGUCAGCCUCCUGUUUCAUGCGCUGCUAUGCUUUAAAAAGGUGCACCUUCAACUCAGUCAACAUUUCACCUCGUUCCAACAAAAGUUGUUCCACAGAAGAACAAGGUGUCAGUCUUCUUUCAAGAGGCAAUAGGUGGGGAGGAUCACGGCCAUAUACUAUUUGAAAGGGAGAAUGUCUCAUUGCAGUAUGGAAGGAAGUGCUAUACCAGUACUCCGCCCAAUGCAAGAACUAAUUCCAAACUUGAGGCCUAUUUGAAGCAAAACACCCCAAGUAUGUCUCCAAGCAUCUGUUCAAGACUUCCGUUUGCCCAUCCGUUUGUGGAUGGUAGGCUGUGCUGUGAGCCAGGGGAGUCCCCUGUGCUUUAAAUAAUUCCGUCCAGAAUGUACUUAUAAAGAUCCGAUCUCUAUCCGAUACGAUAGAGCGAGGAAAGCCAUGCAAACGAACUAUCUCUCGACUGAAUUCCUUAGCAACUUAGGGGGCAGUGAAAGGGUGCUUUAACCCGAUGAAAUGACUAUGCUUACUUAGACGAUCCACUACAACCAGAAUGGUGUCAACUUCCCUCGAUCGUGGCAGUCCUUCGUUGAAAUCCAUGGAGAUAUCCUCCCAAAUGGAGUCGGGAAUCGGUAGAGGAAGCAAUAGCCCCCCAGGAGAUAAAGCCAUAUAUUUAUUCUGCCGACAUACCCCACAACUUGCCACAUAGUCCUUUACUCUCUUCUUCAUCCCUUGCCGAUAGACCUCUCUCGCAAUCCUCUUAUAUGUCUUAAGAAAUUCGGAGUGUCCUCCAAUCUUAGAGUCAUGGCAUUCUUGUAACUUAAGAGUGACAAAAUUGGAAUGGCUGGGAAGAACAACCCUCCCCUUGUAACAUAAUAUGCUGUUGAUCAAGUCAUAACCAUCUUAAACAAUGUUCCCAUUCUGCAGUUCAGAAACUAGUUUUCCUAGGAUACUAUCAGCAGCAACUUCCUUCUUGAUGUCUUCUAAUUGUAGCACUUUAAAAUGGUCAGAGCCAACAGAUUCAAAGCUGGCUGAAUUCUGGAAAGAGAAUCUGCAGCUUUAUUCUCUAACCUCAGCCGAUAUUCUAUGUUAAAGUUGUAGCCCAUGAUUUUAGUUAACCACUUUUGAUGCUCCUCGCUUACCAAACGCUAUUCCAACAAGAACGUCAAGCUUCGUUGGUCUGUUCGUACCACGAAGUGUCUGCCCAGUAAGUAAUGGCGGCAUUUUGUAUGGCGAACACGACGGCUAUCAAUUCUCUCUCAUAAACUGACCUUAGCCUGGCGCUCUGGGGAAGUACCUUGCUGAAAUAUGCAAUGGGGUGGCUAUUCUGCAUCAACACUGCCCCUAACCCAUGACCUGAAGCGUCUGUCUCAAUCACAAACUCCUGGGAGAAAUUCGGAAGUGCCAGAACAGGAAUACGGACCAUGGCUGAUUUUAAAUUCCGAAAAGCCUCCUCUGCUUUGUCGUCCCAUAAGAACUUGUCUUUCUUCAGUAGUUCAGUAAGGGGCCAUGCACUCUUGGCAUACCCUGAAACAAAGCGUCUAUAAUAGCCGGUGAGCCCCAAAAAUCCUCGUAGCUCCUUGAGAUUGCGUGGACUCAGCCAAUUAUACAUUGCCUCCAAUUUAGUCUAAUCUGCAGAAACACCGUUCUCAGAAAUAACAUGGCCCAGGUACUCAAUUUCCCGUUGACUGAACAAGCAUUUCUUUUGAUUGGCAUACAGCUGAUGUUCUUGCAAAAUCCCUAGUACUGUCCCCAAAUGUCGUUGAUGCUCUUCCAUCGACUGACUGUAAACCAAGAUGUCAUCGAAAAAGACUAGUAUGAACUUCUGUAGAUAUGGCUUAAACACCUCAUUCAUAAAAAUAUUGAAAGGUCACCGGUGCGUUUUUCAGCUCGAAGGGCAUGACCAAGAAUUCAUAAUGCCCUUCAUGAGUACAGAAGGCGGUCUUUAGUAUGUCCUCUGGCCAAACCCGAAUUUGGUGAUACCCUGAUUUCAAAUCUAACUUGGAGAAUGUCUGAGCUCCAUGUAAUUCGUCCAACAACUCAUCAAUAACUUGGAUCGAAAAACGAUCUGGUACAAUCACUUUGUUAAGGGCCCAGUAGUCUACACAAAACCUCCAACUACCGUCCUUUUUCUUCUUCACCAAAAGGACAGGACUGGAAUAGGGACUGAAACUGGGCUGAAUAAUUCUUGCUGUCAACAUGUCUCUGACUAGCCUCUCUAUCUCAUUCUUUUGAACAUACGGAUAUCGGUAUGGCUUGACAUUUACUUGCCUUGCCCCAGGCUGUAGAAUGAUCACAUGAUCCCUCAAUCGUGGAGGAGGAAGUUCAUUAUGCCAUUCAAACAUGCUGUUAUAUUUCCGCAGUAGUUCCCUAAUUGGGCUGGGAACCUCAGCUGUCUUCUCCGCAGCCUCUACUCUCAGACUUCCUAAUUCCAACAAGAUGCCCUGUUCUCCUACCUUGAAAGUUUUCACUAUCGAUUUUAAGGACACUUGCGUUUUAUCCAAAGUCAGGUCCCCCUGCAGUACAAUGGUUUCCCCUCCAGCCUUAAAACGCAUUGUUAGGGCUCCCCAGUUCACUUGCAUUUUCCCCAGAGUCUCCAACCAUUUCAUCCCUAGGAUUACAUCUGUACAGCCAACUUUUAGUGGUAAAAUUUUUUCGACUACCUCGAUUCCUGGUAGAGAAACCACCACCCCUUUACAAACUCCCUCGCCUUUAACAGAUAAUACAAUCCCCAGUUGGAUACCGAAACUGGCCGAACCUAUCACUCUCAACCCAAGCUUCCGAACAAGUUCUUCGAAAAUGAAAUUAUGGGUAGCUCCACAAUCAAUCAUGACAACAAGAAGCUGCCCUAAAUUACCCCCAUAAGCUUCAUCAUCUUGGGAGCGGUAAGACCCACCACAGAUUUAAUAGACGAUUCUACCUUGUCCCGAAUUUCCUCCUCUUCCAUCCCGUUAACCUCCUCCCCCAAUUCCUCACUCUCUUCUUCCUACACCACUAAGAGCUACAGUUCCUUGUUUCUACAUCAAGGUCCCGGGCUAUAUCUCUCAUCGCAACGAUAACACAGGCCCUUUUCUCUCUUCGACUGUAAUUCUGCAUCAGUGAGUUGCUUGAAAGGGGACCCACCCUUUGCUGCCAUUGACGAGCACUGCGUAAUGGGCACAGUCGCCUUGGGAGGCACCGUAAGGGCUUGCUGUGCUCGUGCUAUGGACUGGGUCGAUUGAAUUGGGGAUAACUUCCAAUUAAUUGGGCUGAUUGGUGAUGGGCUACUGUAAUUUUUAGCUUUAAAUGGGCCUCUCCAUAACUGGGCUCACCUUAAGGACUCGUUACGAUCCUCAACCCAUUGGGCCAUUUCCAUGAUUUGGCCCAGUCCUUGCGGCCUGAUCAUUCUCACUUCAGCUCUUAUGGCUGGUUUCAACCCACUGAUGAAAUUUCCUUCCAGCACAGCUUCUGGAAUCUCCAGCAGAGGUGCAGCGAGGAUCUCAAACAUUUAACGGUAUUCUCUCACCGUCCCUUCUUGCUUCAAUGCCAGGAGCUUUUCCAGAAUUGAUCCUUCCUGUGAUGGCCGGAAUCUGUUGAGUAGUAAGAGCUUCAAAUCUCCCCAACUUCUCAACGGCUACUGGUUGACCUCCCAUUGAUACCAGGCUAGAGCCUCACCCUCAAAACAGACGGCAGUGGCCUCAAUCUUUUCCCAAUCGAUAAACUGAUUCAUGCUGAAUUACUGCUCC